Molecule: ribosomal RNA, 444 nt
Filed under: uncultured bacterium
Lineage: Bacteria
Description: bacterial SSU rRNA
Rfam family: Bacterial small subunit ribosomal RNA
Source: RNAcentral
UAAGGAAUAUUGGUCAAUGGACGCAAGUCUGAACCAGCCAUGCCGCGUGGAGGAUGAAGGUCCUCUGGAUUGUAAACUUCUUUUACCUGGGAAGAAACCCAUGUUUUCUAACGUGGUUGACGGUACCAGAUGAAUAAGCACCGGCUAACUCCGUGCCAGCAGCCGCGGUAAUACGGAGGGUGCAAGCGUUAUCCGGAUUCACUGGGUUUAAAGGGUGCGUAGGCGGGCAGGUAAGUCAGUGGUGAAAUCCCCGAGCUUAACUUGGGAACUGCCGUUGAUACUAUCUGUCUUGAAUAUCGUGGAGGUGAGCGGAAUAUGUCAUGUAGCGGUGAAAUGCUUAGAUAUGACAUAGAACACCAAUUGCGAAGGCAGCUCACUACGCGAUGAUUGACGCUGAGGCGCGAAAGCGUGGGUAGCAAACAGGAUUAGAUACCCCCGUAGUCC